UACAGAGGGUACAAACGUUGUUCGGAAUCACUGGGCUUAAAGCGCACGUAGGUGGUUCGGUAAGUGCGAUGUGAAAGCCCCCGGCCCAACCGGGGAACUGCAUCGCAGACUGCCGAGCUUGAGAGCGGUAGGGGAGACUAGAACUCCUGGUGGAGCGGUGAAAUGCGUAGAUAUCAGGAGGAAUACCGGUGGCGAAGGCGAGUCUCUGGUCCGCUUCUGACACUUAGGUGCGAAAGCUACGGGAGCAAACGGG
Molecule: ribosomal RNA, 253 nt
Filed under: uncultured bacterium
Lineage: Bacteria
Description: partial 16S ribosomal RNA
Rfam family: Bacterial small subunit ribosomal RNA
Source: RNAcentral